UGUGUUUCCCACUCCAAGCAGCCACGAGGUCACGCACAGCACGGGGCAGACAUCUUCGUGUCCAUCCUGAGAGUUAACCAUUUCUAUGGUCACUGACGGAGGGUUUGAUGGAGCCGACAGCAGGCAACUUGAGGGACUCAGUAGCAGGGGUGUCGACGAGGAACUUAUUGAGAAACUGGAAAAUGAAAAGGAACCACUCACGGAGGACAGCAUUUCCAAGGAAACUGCGUUGAGGAUUAGAUUCAGACUUAGCUGCAGAGCAAACAUGAAUAUGCAACACCAAAGGAAAAAAAGCCAACUUGACAGAUCAUUUUUUGUCCCUCUACGGUUAUAAACAAUGUCUAGUUCUUUGGUCAAGCCAGUGUAGUGGGAUAAAACGCCUUGGCCUGUUCCUCCCAAAACAACCACUAGAUUGAGCAAAUACAUUUUACCCUUUGCCAUGCAAUACAUUAAUGACUGGAGUGGGACAUUCUAAUUAAACCAGGGAAGAGAUGUACUGGAAGAUGAGACACAGUCAGUGAUCAAAUAUGCAGUGGAUGCAAUUGGCCACUGAGCGUCACCAGGUGUCUCCUUGUAAGUCAAAGGCAUCUGCUAAAUACUAAUGUAAUGUAAUAUAAAAAGGUGGUGCAGUCAGACCCUAAGUAUGCUUAAAGUCAUUGGGUUUUUUGAAUUACAUAAAUAUUGACCUACCAAGCGUGUGUGUUUUCUGCUAUGCCAAGUUUUGAUUCGCCACAACGCUUAAACUUGCUGACAUGGUUCAACUACUUCAGGGAAAAAAUGAAGUUUUAGUGUUCUGUGUCCAGAAAUUGUGUUUCAUCUUUCCCCUUCAAAUGUACAGGUAUGUAAUUUUUAAAAUGGAAAUAAAUACGGUAUGCCAGUCUGUGGUGUUUGGA
Engraulis encrasicolus (European anchovy) is the source of this 893-nucleotide long non-coding RNA. RefSeq lists it as uncharacterized. NCBI's taxonomy places the organism in Eukaryota, Metazoa, Chordata, Actinopteri, Clupeiformes, Engraulidae. The transcript has 3 exons. The record is from RefSeq and is a predicted model, not a curated record.